UACGUAGGGUGCAGGCGUUAAUCGGAAUUACUGGGCGUAAAGCGUGCGCAGGCGGUUUGCUAAGUCAGGCGUGAAAUCCCCGGGCUUAACCUGGGAACUGCGCUUGUUACUGGCAGGCUUGAGUGUGGCAGAGGGGGGUGGAAUUCCACGUGUAGCAGUGAAAUGCGUAGAGAUGUGGAGGAACACCGAUGGCGAAGGCAGCCCCCUGGGCUAACACUGACGCUCAUGCACGAAAGCGUGGGGAGCAAACAGG
This 253-nucleotide ribosomal RNA is filed under the name uncultured bacterium. Its description in RNAcentral is "partial 16S ribosomal RNA". It matches the Rfam family "Bacterial small subunit ribosomal RNA", at positions 524 to 776 of the family's 1533-position model. The record is from RNAcentral.